Perca fluviatilis (European perch) is the source of this 411-nucleotide long non-coding RNA. RefSeq lists it as uncharacterized. The record is from RefSeq and is a predicted model, not a curated record. The transcript has 3 exons. NCBI's taxonomy places the organism in Eukaryota, Metazoa, Chordata, Actinopteri, Perciformes, Percidae.
AUUCAACAACCAAUAGAAUGCCAGCUGUAGUGUUGACCAAUGAAAUGAUCCCUGCCCCGUUGAAGAUGCGUUCAAUUUACUGUUGAGGGCGGCUGCUCUGUAACCAAGUUUAGCUAUGUAGCUACCCCCGCGCCGUCCAUUGCUUUAUUAUAAGUAUAUGUCAACAAUGUGCACAGAGUGGUCGAUGCACUUUCACCUGCACCCAUCAGGAAACUGGAGAAAGUCCACAACUACGAGGGUGUGACUGAAGUAUCCCUGUUGAGCUGCAUCACAGCACACUGGUCUAUGCACUAUGUGCAUGUAUGUUUCUUGCUUAAAUCCACACACAACCAGGCCUGGGAGAGAAAAUUACUGAUAUCCACAAAACCAAAUCAGACAAGGAGCAUACUAUAUAAAGACAACAGUGGAGAG